ACGCGAGCUGGGUUCAGAACGUCGUGAGACAGUUCGGUCCCUAUCUGUCGUGGGCGCAGGAAAUUUGAGGAGCUCUGUCCUUAGUACGAGAGGACCGGGAUGGACGCACCGCUGGUGCACCAGUUGUCAUGCCAAUGGCACAGCUGGGCAGCUAAGUGCGGAUCGGAUAAACGCUGAAAGCAUCUAAGCAUGAAGCCGGCUCCAAGAUAAGAUUUCCCAUGGAAUAAUCCAGUAAGACCCCUUAUAGACUAUAAGGUUGAUAGGUUGCAGGUGUAAGCGUGGUGACACGUUCAGCUUGGCAAUACUAAUCGGUCGAGGGCUUGACCUU
RNAcentral lists this ribosomal RNA (328 nucleotides) under Oscillospiraceae bacterium. RNAcentral's name for it is "partial 23S ribosomal RNA". It matches the Rfam family "Bacterial large subunit ribosomal RNA", at positions 2598 to 2925 of the family's 2925-position model. Lineage: Bacteria; Bacillati; Bacillota; Clostridia; Eubacteriales; Oscillospiraceae. The record is from RNAcentral.